This 755-nucleotide ribosomal RNA is filed under the name Saccharopolyspora sp. DST31. Its description in RNAcentral is "bacterial SSU rRNA". It matches the Rfam family "Bacterial small subunit ribosomal RNA", at positions 132 to 893 of the family's 1533-position model. Lineage: Bacteria; Bacillati; Actinomycetota; Actinomycetes; Pseudonocardiales; Pseudonocardiaceae. The record is from RNAcentral.
UGCACUCUGGGAUAAGCCUUGGAAACGGGGUCUAAUACCGGAUAUGACAUGUCACCGCAUGGUGUGCGUGUGGAAAGUUCCGGCGGUGCAGGAUGAGCCCGCGGCCUAUCAGCUUGUUGGUGGGGUAGUGGCCUACCAAGGCGACGACGGGUAGCCGGCCUGAGAGGGUGACCGGCCACACUGGGACUGAGACACGGCCCAGACUCCUACGGGAGGCAGCAGUGGGGAAUCUUGCGCAAUGGGCGAAAGCCUGACGCAGCAACGCCGCGUGGGGGAUGACGGCCUUCGGGUUGUAAACCUCUUUCGACACCGACGAAGCCUUCGGGUGACGGUAGGUGUAGAAGAAGCACCGGCUAACUACGUGCCAGCAGCCGCGGUAAUACGUAGGGUGCGAGCGUUGUCCGGAUUUAUUGGGCGUAAAGAGCUCGUAGGCGGUUUGUCGCGUCGGCCGUGAAAACUCACAGCUUAACUGUGGGCGUGCGGUCGAUACGGGCAGACUUGAGUUCGGCAGGGGAGACUGGAAUUCCUGGUGUAGCGGUGAAAUGCGCAGAUAUCAGGAGGAACACCGGUGGCGAAGGCGGGUCUCUGGGCCGAUACUGACGCUGAGGAGCGAAAGCGUGGGGAGCGAACAGGAUUAGAUACCCCUGGUAGUCCACGCCGUAAACGUUGGGCGCUAGGUGUGGGGACCGGUUCCACGGGUUUCCGUGCCGUAGCUAACGCAUUAAGCGCCCCGCCUGGGGAGUACGGCCGCAAGG